GAUGAACGCUGGCGGCGUGCCUAAUACAUGUAAGUCGAGCGAACGGACGAGAAGCUUGCUUCUCUGAUGUUAGCGGCGGACGGGUGAGUAACACGUGGAUAACCUACCUAUAAGACUGGGAUAACUUCGGGAAACCGGAGCUAAUACCGGAUAAUAUUUUGAACCGCAUGGUUCAAAAGUGAAAGACGGUCUUGCUGUCACUUAUAGAUGGAUCCGCGCUGCAUUAGCUAGUUGGUAAGGUAACGGCUUACCAAGGCAACGAUGCAUAGCCGACCUGAGAGGGUGAUCGGCCACACUGGAACUGAGACACGGUCCAGACUCCUACGGGAGGCAGCAGUAGGGAAUCUUCCGCAAUGGGCGAAGGCCUGACGGAGCAACGCCGCGUGAGUGAUGAAGGUCUUCGGAUCGUAAAACUCUGUUAUUAGGGAAGAACAUAUGUGUAAGUAACUGUGCACAUCUUGACGGUACCUAAUCAGAAAGCCACGGCUAACUACGUG
RNAcentral lists this ribosomal RNA (497 nucleotides) under uncultured bacterium. RNAcentral's name for it is "partial 16S ribosomal RNA". It matches the Rfam family "Bacterial small subunit ribosomal RNA", at positions 28 to 507 of the family's 1533-position model. The record is from RNAcentral.